CCGGUCGAAAACCACGUGCGUGUGUGUGAGUGUGCGUGCGCUGUACCAGCCAAGUGAAAGUCUCGUUGCGCGUCAUCGACACUAAUCUGCGAAAAAGCCGGAAAUCAUAACAUCAGCCACAAUGAAUCCCGGUGCGCCGAACUACCAGAUGGCUUCGCUGUACGUAGGCGAUCUGCACUCCGACAUUACGGAGGCGACGCUGUUCGAGAAGUUCUCAUCGGCCGGUCCGGUACUGUCCAUUCGCGUAUGCCGUGACCUGAUCACACGUCGUUCCCUGGGCUAUGCGUACGUCAACUUUCAGCAGCCAGCCGAUGCCGAACGAGCGCUGGAUACAAUGAACUUCGAUCCGAUUAAGGGACGCCCGAUCCGUAUUAUGUGGUCGCAGCGUGAUCCUUCGCUGCGUAAAUCUGGCGUGGGUAAUGUGUUCAUUAAGAACCUGGAUAAAAAAAUCGACAACAAGGCGAUGUACGAUACGUUCUCGGCAUUCGGCAAUAUCCUAAGCUGCAAGAUAGCACAGGACGAAAAAGGCCAGAGCAAGGGUUACGGUUUCGUGCACUUCGAGACGGAGGAAUCGGCUAACAAUUCCAUCGACAAAGUAAACGGCAAAUUGCUGAACGAAAAGAAAGUGUACGUCGGCCGAUUCAUCUCGCGCAAGGAGCGCGAGAAGGAAUUGGGCGAGAAGGCCAAGCUGUUCACGAAUGUGUACGUCAAAAACUUUGGCGAAGAUCUGACUGAGGAGGCGCUCCGUGACAUGUUUGAAAAGUACGGUCCCAUCACAAGCCACCGCGUGAUGACGAAGGAAGGCAAGAGUCGUGGAUUCGGCUUUGUCGCUUUCGAAAGCCCGGAAGCUGCCGAAAGAGCGGUUCAGGAGUUGAACAACAAGGAACUGGCCGAUGGAAAGAUGCUAUAUGUCGGUCGUGCCCAGAAAAAGAACGAGCGCCAAAUGGAGCUGAAACGCCGGUUCGAGCAGCUCAAGAUGGAGCGCCUGACACGUUAUCAUGGUGUGAACCUGUACGUGAAGAAUCUGGACGACACGAUUGACGAUGAGCGACUGCGCAAGGAAUUCACCCCGUACGGUACGAUCACAUCGGCCAAGGUUAUGUUGGAUGAGGGCCGCUCGAAGGGCUUCGGUUUCGUGUGCUUCUCAGCACCCGAUGAGGCCACGAAGGCUGUUACUGAGAUGAAUGGCCGCAUCGUGGGUAGUAAGCCGCUGUACGUCGCGCUUGCCCAGCGUAAGGAGGAGCGUAAAUCGCACCUGGCGAGCCAGUACAUCCAGCGUGUGAAUAGUCUGCGCAUGCAGCACAUUGGUCAAGUGUACCAACAGAGUGGCAGCUACUUCAUGCCUACCAUUACUCAGCCUCAGCGCUUCUACGGACCGCAGGUUGCGCCGGUUCGCACUGCACCACGCUGGUCUGCCAGUGCUCAGAUACGCCCGAAUGCCGGCAAUCAAAAUGUGGCCGCAAAUGCUCCAACCGGUGGAUACCCGGCAAUUGCCGCAGCACACGUUGCCAACAACCAGUAUCGCCAGGCGGGUAAUGUACGUGGAGCCAACCAACAGGCUCCGAACGCUCAAUCGGCUCAAGCCUCAUCAGCGGCCAUGCGUAACGCUGCUCGUCCGAUUACUGGACAGCAGACUGCAGCGAACAUGCAAACGCGCCCAGUUGCGCCACAGCUGGCUGCUGGACAAACGCGUGCACCAAACUACAAGUUUACUCAGUCGAUGCGCAACCCACAGGUGCCACAACCAGUUCCAAUUCCGGCACAACCCGUUGCUCAACAAGCUGUCAUUGUUAAAGGUCAAGAACCACUUACUGCCAGCAUGUUGGCCGCUGCUCAACCGGCUGAACAGAAGCAGAUGCUUGGAGAGCGUCUGUUCCCGCUUAUUGAACAGAUGUAUCCGACACUCGCCGGUAAAAUCACGGGAAUGUUGCUCGAGAUUGACAACUCGGAACUGUUGCACAUGCUGGAGCACAAGGAAUCGCUGACAGCGAAGGCUGAGGAAGCUGUGGCUGUGCUGCAGGCACAUCACAAGACUUCGGCACAGCCUAACUAAAGCGACGACGAAGCAAACUGCAUAGAAGCUGAAGCCGUUGAAUGCCGUUCGUCCUUUUGUGUGAAAACCCUUUCGUUACCCGAGCGUAACGAUCAGUAGUGGGCCGAUUCGAACCAAGCUGUAACUUGCCGUGUGGAUGUUGGGUAAAUUAAAUUAAACAAACAUUUGAACUGUACUCACGUUUGCAGGUGUAUUUUUGUAAGAUCGGUUGUUACUGAUUCGCGCUAACGCUAAUGUGUGUGGUUUUUGCGCGUGGGCGCCCAAUUGCAUCAGCUGGCGUUCGAUUUUUUCAUUAUUCAUACUAUAAUAUUGAAUAUGUCAUUUACUCGUAACCGGCGCUAAACGAUUUCCCAGCUUAUGCGGAGCACUUUGCGCACGCUGCAAAUUUCUUAUUACGAUAACAUAAACCUAUCAAAUAUAUUACGCAAAAAUAUAUGUAUCAAGUAUAUAUAAAAAAAUACAAAAAAAAUGGAAAACAAACUAUAAAAAUCGUAACUGAAAAAGGUAACUUAAAAAAGAUUGCAAAAAGAAAAAGAAAUCCUCCUCGUAACGAAUGAGAGAGAGAGAAAAGUAAAAAAGUGAUGAAGUAAAAAGUCGAUGAGUAAAAACGACAAAAGAGCAACAUAAAAACAGAAAAUUCAUUUAAAAAAACAGUAAACAACAGAAAAUGUGAGCAAAGAUUGUUUUUUGAGAGUACCUUCAAUAAGUGAACCAUGGAAUCAUUUGUCAGGACAAGUGAAAAGUUGAGUAACUUGAAAUAUUUGCAAAGAAUUGUAGAGCGAAACAGAAUUUAAACAGUGGAAUAAAGAUCCGAGACUUAGAAUAUGAACACAGAAAUAAGAAGAGAUUCAGAAUUUAGAAGAAGCGAACACCAGCAGAGGUGAAAAGGAGAAAUUACGAAGAAAAAAAAAUGUGAGCCACAUAAUACCAUAAAAUUGGAACGUUCUAUGAAGAUAAAUGCGAUCCUAUUUCAAUGAGAUACAACAGAACAACCGAUGCGACAGUCUAAAUAUGCAAACGAAAUAAAAGCAAAAAAUGGAAAAAUAACAAAAAAACUGAAAACGCAUAAAAACAAAAAAGAGAAAAAACUUUCGUGAGAUGGAUGGAUAAUAUGAUGAAGUUGGUUGGGUGGUAGAAGGUAAUGCUUGCGAGAAAGCACACUAAACGAAGUACAUCGUCCGGCACGAAAAAAAACGGGAUAAAAAUAACAACAGACAAAAAAAACUGAAAAAACUUGCAACUAACGAAAAUUCUACAAACAAAAAAGGACAAGAGACGUAAAAAAACGGGAUGAGAGGAAUCAUUGUUCCGUUUAAAAUGAUGUGUGAAGAAGCAGACAGAUCAUCAUUGGUCUUUAGGUUGAACGGAUCUUUGAUGUUUGUUUUUUCUUUUUGUUCGCUUAAAAUAUUAUUUUCGCUGUUGUCAUAAGUACCUCCGGAGGUUAGCAAACAUUAUACCGAGGACAUCAGUUAGGAACAGGGUUAAAAACAAACCAAUCCUACGGCUCAAAAGUAUACGGUAUCCCCAUUAGAGGGAGCUCCGCCAUGCAGGACUAACUCCCGAGUAUCUGGCAGGUUCAGAAGCGUUUCAGAAGAGGACUGGACAGGGUGAACCCAAAGCAAUGGCUAAAAAUAAAACGAUGAUGAUGAAGAAUGUCGGCGAUGCAGGGAAAUGUUUGGAAAGGCCAUGUUACUCUUCUGAAUGUCCUAUCGUCGAUGGAAGUUGAAGUUAACUGUCAGUUUUUAGAAGAUCGAUUCAGUUAAGACGCAUGUGCACUAUAGAGAGAGAGAGGACAGGAAAGGAGGGCCCCGCUCGUGAUUAAGUUAUGCGUGUUUAGUUCAACCUAGGUGGAUUGCUUUUUUUCUCGUGCUUGUAGUACCUUUCCCAUACAAGAUUAUAACUCUUGUUACUCCACCAGGAAUGAUGCGCUCUUACCAUACGAAAAAUAUCUAGGAGAUUGGCAUGUUGCAUUGCCUUUGCAGCUUUGCAAUUUUGAAUGUAAAAGUAUAAAACAUUAAUUGUGAAUGUAUUGCGAUUAAAGUUUGCUUCCAGAAAUGAAAGCAAAUGAAGAAUGAAGAGAAUCCACGUCAGUUUUACUUUUGCAAUAACUACUGAAGAUCAAAAUUGCAGAAAGUCGCGGCGAACAAUUUAACGUUUUCCGAGUGAAGCAGAAUGCGAGAAUAUGCUUAUUCUGAAAUUCAAGUUGGUCUUUAAUGAACCAUCUAUAUGACCAAGCCAAUAACCGGCACUGAUAGCGUCUUAGGCCUCAUGGGUGGGCGGGCCUAGCUAGUCGGAUAUAUUUGUUUGAACAUUUCAAACCACUGACAAAGUCGUCUUUGUUUAUUUUUGAGCACAAGCAAGCGAGAAAAACAUCUGCUCUCACGAAGUGCUCAUAAAUAUGACGAACUGUUUCAGCGAGCGAUGUUUAUUGGAAACAAUUGAAAACACGUAAACAAAAUUGCAAUUCAACAACUGGGAAUCAAAUUAUUUGAAAAGAAAAACCGCAAGCGCACCCACAACCCAGUAAUUUGUUUCCGGAGCAGGUUUACAACUGUUCAGUUAGUAUUUAUAAUAUCCGGGCAUUCAAAAUUUAAUAAGCAAAACAAAAUUCAACCAACACACGAACUUUUCUAUUUCAAUAAAGCGAUAAGAUCCGGAAAGAA
Molecule: RNA transcript, 4716 nt
Organism: Anopheles funestus (African malaria mosquito)
Lineage: Eukaryota; Metazoa; Arthropoda; Insecta; Diptera; Culicidae
Gene: pAbp
Gene name: polyadenylate-binding protein 4-like
Exons: 4
Source: RefSeq, a predicted model, not a curated record